GGAAGCCGGUCAAAUCCCGGCGCUGACCCGCAACCGUAGAUCGCCUUUAAUUGGUGAUGAGCCGGAUUAC
RNAcentral lists this non-coding RNA (70 nucleotides) under Corynebacterium callunae. The record is from RNAcentral. Lineage: Bacteria; Bacillati; Actinomycetota; Actinomycetes; Mycobacteriales; Corynebacteriaceae.